GGCACGGUGGCUCAGUGGUUAGCGAUGUUGCCUCACAGCAAGAAGGGCGCUGGUUCGAAUCCCGUCUGUGCCA
This 73-nucleotide transfer RNA is filed under the name Danio rerio (zebrafish). It matches the Rfam family "tRNA". From Rfam's summary of the family: Transfer RNA (tRNA) molecules are approximately 80 nucleotides in length. Their secondary structure includes four short double-helical elements and three loops (D, anti-codon, and T loops). Lineage: Eukaryota; Metazoa; Chordata; Actinopteri; Cypriniformes; Danionidae. The record is from Rfam by way of RNAcentral.